RNAcentral lists this ribosomal RNA (396 nucleotides) under Propionibacterium acidifaciens. RNAcentral describes it as "bacterial SSU rRNA". It matches the Rfam family "Bacterial small subunit ribosomal RNA", at positions 28 to 424 of the family's 1533-position model. The record is from RNAcentral. Lineage: Bacteria; Bacillati; Actinomycetota; Actinomycetes; Propionibacteriales; Propionibacteriaceae.
GACGAACGCUGGCGGCGUGCUUUAACACAUGCAAGUCGAACGGUAAGGCGCUUUCGGGCGUACACGAGUGGCGAACGGGUGAGUAACACGUGAGGAACGUGCCCUUGACUUUGGUAUAGCACUUGGAAACAGGUGGUAAUCCCGAAUAUUCAGUUUCCCGGGCAUCCGGGUUGUUGGAAAGCUUUUGCGGUCAGGGAUCGUCUCGCGGCCUAUCAGCUUGUUGGUGGGGUAGUGGCCCACCAAGGCCUUGACGGGUAGCCGGCCUGAGAGGGCGACCGGCCACAUUGGGACUGAGAUACGGCCCAGACUCCUACGGGAGGCAGCAGUGGGGAAUAUUGCACAAUGGGCGGAAGCCUGAUGCAGCAACGCCGCGUGCGGGAUGACGGCCUUCGGGUU